UGCCUGUUUGAGAUUAGAAAAAAUGGGAGGAAAGAAUUGAGUUCUACUCUAGGGAGAUACUUAUCUCUACACUGGAGAGAGUAUAAUGGUGCUAUGACUGAGAAAAAUAUGAAUUAGCUCAAUUUCGUGAUAAUUUUGGCAGUGUAGUUUUAAUAGUUUUGGUAUGAGAAGUAUUGCAACCAAGGUAUUUACUAUAAUGUCAAGUCGCACCAUAACUUUUUUCCGGGACUGUUACAUAAAAGAAUGAUCUGUGAGCAAUGGCCCGCAAUAGUUUCUUGACGGGCUACUUGCAGAUGAAUGUUGCAAGUAUUUUUAUUUAUAUCCUUUUCUAAAUUACCUGCUGCAUUUUAAGAGAGAGUGGCUUAAGUAUGAUGCUCUUCAACAGUAAGAAGGUGCCCUCUGUAUUCUAUUACAUUUGUUAAUGGGAACAUGUGGCCUGGCAAUGAAGUUGCAGCCAUAUUUAGUAUAUGUAACUUUCAUAUUAUUUUCCAAGCAGAAAAUAAGUUUACCGCCAAUACAUAUGUUGUCGAUUCAUGGUUGCUCAUUUAAUGCACCUUCCUGGUUGGUCUUAGAAGUGGAAACGGAACAAAGCCUACCAAUAUUGUCAAGAAUUUUGGGCUUACACAUCUUAGUGCCGGAAAUAUGUUACUGUUGGAAAUUGAGUGAGACCUGCCACCUGAUGUGCAGAUGCAAUGAAUCUGCUUGCAGCGCAGCUUUAGCCCCAGUUCAGCAACAUCCUGGUCUCCGGCGAAGUGUUCCUGAUCUUGAUCUCUCAUGUGUAUGACUGUACUUGCUUGGCUUUAUUUCUUCAGUUCCAACUAAUUGAUCUGUCUUCUUUGUAGUUGUUCAGAGUAGUUGGCAUGGGAGACGGCAACGACUGGCGCGGGCUCUGCUCAAAGGCUCGCCGGAGACAACCAACAUCUCCACAGUCUACUUGACGUGACCGUCGUCAAACACUGCAAUGCCGAGCACACUACUUGGUGUGGCCGACGUCCCAGCUAGACGAGUAUAGAUGAGAUGCCUUCCCUCCUUUGCUUCAGAAUUCGGUGUUCCUGAUUUCUUGCAUUUGUACUUGAAAUUGCACUAUUUCGUCGUUGUCUUCACGGAGGAUAGGGUUUGUGAGAUAUCGAGACUGAGGAGAGUCGGGUAUAGGAAGGGAGAGGGAGAACAUGUCAUGACCUGCAAGUUUGGUGUCUUCUACUUUUGCUUAAGAGGGUUUCCUAUCGUCCGUUGUUCAGA
Molecule: long non-coding RNA, 1239 nt
Organism: Lolium rigidum
Lineage: Eukaryota; Viridiplantae; Streptophyta; Magnoliopsida; Poales; Poaceae
Exons: 3
Source: RefSeq, a predicted model, not a curated record